RNAcentral lists this non-coding RNA (141 nucleotides) under uncultured Metasolibacillus sp. Lineage: Bacteria; Bacillati; Bacillota; Bacilli; Caryophanales; Caryophanaceae. The record is from RNAcentral.
UAAUGAUGUAUCUACAUUGCCUUUUCCGCAUAAAUGAAUAAUAUUGUAGUCCACUAGCAAAUCGGUUAAAUUCAUGCGUAAUGCCUCAUUUAAUACAACUGAGCCUAAGCUCCCCCCCAUCACAAGCAAUACUUUUUUGGA